This is a long non-coding RNA of Lathyrus oleraceus (garden pea), 256 nucleotides long. RefSeq lists it as uncharacterized. Lineage: Eukaryota; Viridiplantae; Streptophyta; Magnoliopsida; Fabales; Fabaceae. The record is from RefSeq and is a predicted model, not a curated record. The transcript is spliced from 2 exons.
AUAAAAUAAAAAGCAACCAUCAUAUUGUAUUCAUAUAAAUUCCAUCUUAACACACAAAGUGGGAAAGACUACAGACUGAAGUAUGGAGAGCUAACAAGGUCUUUAUUUAGAACCAUAACAACAUCCAGCAAACCAAAAAGAAAACAAAAUUGCAUAGUAAGAAAAUAAAAUAAAUUCCAAACUUUCAUGAACCUGUCAGCCUCCAUUGAACUUCCUUUCGACAACCACUAGAUACAUUGAUAGUUAAAUGUAUAAA